UAUAUCCCUCUGGUUGGAGCAUUCUUGAAGAAGAAGAAAAUUUGUGCGAACGCCCACUGUUUAUGUAAGAAAAAGAGAACAGUGGGCAGAGAUUCCAGACUUUCUACUAAAUUCACACUUCCCUUCACCUCUCACACAUACAUUAAACCCUAAUUCACAAAAUCCUAAUCAGUGACAUGGACGCCGCCCAAAAUCCUUUAUGCGCACAAGAAGCACUCGAUCUUCUAAAUUGCACCACUGAGAAACCUUACGAUAAGGAGAAAUGCCAACGUCUGCUCGAAUCCUUGCGCCAAUGCGUCCUUAACAAGGUAAUUAGAAUUGAUUAUGGUGUGAGCCUCUUUUUUUAUUUAAAUAUGUUUAGUGAUGCUUAUUGUUGGUUUUGAUUCUGUUCCUUACUGUUGUUUUUUUAAACACUUGAAUUUUGAUCUGCAUUUUUCACCUUUGGGUGGCUAGUUAGGUGAAUAACUGGAUAAUCCGCCUAGAGGAACUGUAAUUAAGGGUUUUAAAGCAGAAGUUCUUUGUUUUUUUAAACUGAAUUAAGUUAUAACUAUUGCAAGGGGUGGCAUAGCGGUCAAUGAGUUGGAGUGACAACCUUAGGACUCAAGGUUCAAAUUACUAAGGCGACACUGUGAAUUUUCAUGUGCUUAAGCCUUGGUACACAAAGUUGUCGAAUACUUGCUGGAGGGGUGUAGCAGGUACUCAGUGGAUUAGUAGACCUAUGCACAAGCUGAUUUGAACACAGCUGUUAAACAAAUGCAAGUUAGUGGAUUUCUUGUUUUGCACUAUCUUUAGAUUAUAUAAACUACCUGUUAAGUGAAGCAAAAUUCAUUUUAUAUCUAGAGUUGCUGGCUGUUUUUCAUACUUUAUGGUGCAACUUUUAGAUCAUGGAAAGGAUCA
Molecule: long non-coding RNA, 897 nt
Filed under: Nicotiana tabacum (common tobacco)
Lineage: Eukaryota; Viridiplantae; Streptophyta; Magnoliopsida; Solanales; Solanaceae
Description: long non-coding RNA (NTAB_LNC008008)
Source: RNAcentral